UUGCUGACAGGGAGUCUGAAGCGUGGGACAUGGACCGUUCACUGGGAUGGCAAGGGAAUUCUGUCCCUGAGGACAGGACUGAAGCUGGGAUCAAGCGUUUCCUGGAGGACACCACGGAUGAUGGAGAACUGAGCAAGUUCGUGAAGGAUUUCUCAGGAAAUGAGAGCUGCCACCCACCAGAGGCUAAGACCCGGGCAUCCAGGCCCCAAGUCCCGGAGCCAAGGCCCCAGGCCCCGGACCUCUAUGAUGAUGACCUGGAGUUCAGACCCCCCUCGUGGCCCCAGUCCUCUGACAACCAGCAGAUGACAAGGAGUAUGUGGGCUUUGCAACCCUUCCCAACCAAGUCCACCGAAAGUCCGUGAAGAAAGGCUUUGACUUUACCCUCAUGGUGGCAGGAGAGUCUGGCCUGGGCAAAUCCACACUUGUCAAUAGCCUCUUCCUCACUGAUCUGUACCGGGACCGGAAACUCCUUGGUGCUGAAGAGCGGAUCAUGCAAACUGUGGAGAUCACUAAGCAUGCAGUGGACAUAGAAGAGAAGGGUGUGAGGCUGCGGCUCACCAUUGUGGACACACCAGGUUUUGGGGAUGCAGUCAACAACACAGAGUGCUGGAAGCCUGUGGCAGAAUACAUUGAUCAGCAGUUUGAGCAGUAUUUCCGAGAUGAGAGUGGCCUGAACCGAAAGAACAUCCAAGACAACAGGGUGCACUGCUGCCUGUACUUCAUCUCACCCUUCGGCCAUGGGUAUGGUCCAAGCCUGAGGCUCCUGGCACCACUGGGUGCUGUCAAGGGAACAGGCCAAGAGCACCAGGGGCAGGGCUGCCACUAGCAGGUGGUCACAGAUUCCUGUUCCCCAGGCUCCGGCCAUUGGAUGUUGAAUUCAUGAAGGCCCUGCAUCAGCGGGUCAACAUCGUGCCUAUCCUGGCUAAGGCAGACACACUGACACCUCCUGAAGUGGACCGCAAGAAGCGCAAAGUGAGGGAAGCUGGUGGUGGGAGGGGAUCAGGUGGGCUUCUAGAAAGGAUGUGGUCCCCAGAACUGUGGGCCCCUCAUCUGUUUGUCAGAUCCGGGAGGAGAUUGAGCAUUUUGGAAUCAAGAUCUAUCAGUUCCCAGACUGUGACUCUGAUGAGGAUGAGGACUUCAAAUUGCAGGACCAAGCCCUAAAGGUGGGGCCACUCUAGGGCAUCCCAUUCCCAUCUUGUUUCUUCCGGGUAGAAAAAGGGAGUAGAAUUCUAUAUUCAGGCUAUCAGGGUGGGAAAGGACCCUGGCUUCCUAGAAUGAAGCAGAGAAGAUGACGAUACAGGUGGAAAGAAAGAGGUGAGAACAGAGGGUGCUGACAGGCACCCCUAACCUCUUCCAGGAAAGCAUCCCAUUUGCAGUAAUUGGCAGCAACACUGUAGUAGAGGCCAGAGGGCGGCGAGUUCGGGGUCGACUCUACCCCUGGGGCAUCGUGGAAGGUAAAGCACUGAGCCUGUGACCAGGGUAUCUCCUUGCCCUCAGUGGCUCUCCCCUACCUAUGCCUCUGGCUGACCCCUAGCCUUGCUAUGCAGUGGAAAACCCAGGGCACUGCGACUUUGUGAAGCUGAGGACAAUGCUGGUACGUACCCACAUGCAGGACCUGAAGGAUGUGACGCGGGAGACACACUAUGAGAACUACCGGGCACAGUGCAUCCAGAGCAUGACCCGCCUGGUGGUGAAGGAACGGAAUCGCAAGUAUGACCAGAAGCCAGGACAAAGCUGGCAGGGGGAGAUCCCAAGCCUAGCCUUGGGUGAGACCAAGCCCUACUUUUGUUCUUCUAUAGGCCCUGGGCUCAAUCUAAGCGGGUGCUGGGGUCCUCCUCGCCUUAUCAACCCUUUUCUCCCUUUAGCAAACUGACUCGGGAAAGUGGUACCGACUUCCCCAUCCCUGCUGUCCCACCAGGGACAGAUCCAGAAACUGAGAAGCUUAUCCGAGAGAAAGAUGAGGAGCUGCGGCGGAUGCAGGAGAUGCUACACAAAAUACAAAAACAGAUGAAGGAGACCUAUUAACUGACUUUCAGCCCUGGAUAUUUAAAUCUCCUCCUCUUCUUCCUGUCCAUGCCGGCCCCUCCCAGCACCAGCUCUGCUCAGGCCCCUUCAGCUACUGCCACUUCGCCUUACAUCCCUGCUGACUGCCCGGAGACUCAGAGGAAAUAAAGUUUAAUAAAUCUGUAGGUGGC
RNAcentral lists this small RNA (2195 nucleotides) under Pongo abelii (Sumatran orangutan). Its description in RNAcentral is "retained intron". Lineage: Eukaryota; Metazoa; Chordata; Mammalia; Primates; Hominidae. The record is from RNAcentral.